This 425-nucleotide ribosomal RNA is filed under the name uncultured bacterium. Its description in RNAcentral is "partial 16S ribosomal RNA". It matches the Rfam family "Bacterial small subunit ribosomal RNA", at positions 354 to 796 of the family's 1533-position model. The record is from RNAcentral.
GUGGGGAAUCUUGCGCAAUGGGCGAAAGCCUGACGCAGCCAUGCCGCGUGAAUGAUGAAGGUCUUAGGAUUGUAAAAUUCUUUCACCGGGGACGAUAAUGACGGUACCCGGAGAAGAAGCUCCGGCUAACUUCGUGCCAGCAGCCGCGGUAAUACGAAGGGGGCUAGCGUUGCUCGGAAUUACUGGGCGUAAAGGGCGCGUAGGCGGACAGCUUAGUCAGAGGUGAAAGCCCAGGGCUCAACCGUGGAAUUGCCUUUGAUACUGGCUGUCUUGAGUUUGGGAGAGGUGAGUGGAACUCCGAGUGUAGAGGUGAAAUUCGUAGAUAUUCGGAAGAACACCAGUGGCGAAGGCGACUCACUGGCCCGUUACUGACGCUGAGGCGCGAAAGCGUGGGGAGCAAACAGGAUUAGAAACCCGGGUAGUCC